Molecule: unclassified non-coding RNA, 339 nt
Filed under: soil metagenome
Description: partial contains 5.8S ribosomal RNA, internal transcribed spacer 2, and large subunit ribosomal RNA
Rfam family: 5.8S ribosomal RNA (bases 1-120)
Source: RNAcentral
GAUGAAGAACGUAGCGAAAUGCGAUAACUAAUGUGAAUUGCAGAAUUUAGUGAAUCAUCGAGUCUUUGAACGCACAUUGCGCCCCCUGGUAUUCCGGGGGGCAUGCCUGUCCGAGCGUCAUUGCUGCCCUCAAGCACGGCUUGUGUGUUGGGCUCCGUCCCCCCGGGGACGGGCCCGAAAGGCAGCGGCGGCACCGAGUCCGGUCCUCGAGCGUAUGGGGCUUUGUCACCCGCUCUGUAGGCCCGGCCGGCGCCAGCCGACAACCCAUCAUCCUUUUCAGGUUGACCUCGGAUCAGGUAGGGAUACCCGCUGAACUUAAGCAUAUCAAUAAGCGGAGGA